AGCGAACGCUGGCGGCAGGCCUAACACAUGCAAGUCGAACGAACUCUUCGGAGUUUGUGGCGGACGGGGGUGUCGCACGACGGAACGUGCCUUUUUGUUUGGAAUAACUCUGGGACACUUGUGCUAAUACCGAAUGUGCCCUUCUGCGGAAAGAUUUAUCGCCAUUCGAGGGGCCCGAGUCGGAUUCGCUUGUUGGUGAGGUAAUCGCUCACCACGGCGACGAUCAGUAGCUGGUCUGAGAGAAUGGCCAGCCACACUGGGAGUGAGACACGGCCCAGACUCUUCCGGGAGGCGGCAGUGGGGAAUCUUGCGCAAUGGGCUAAAGCCUGACGGAGCCAGGCCGCGUAAAUGAUGAAGGUCUUGAAGUUGUAAAAUUCUUUCACCGGGGACGAUAAUGACGGUACCCGGAGAAGAAGCCCCGGCUAACUUCGUG
RNAcentral lists this ribosomal RNA (433 nucleotides) under uncultured bacterium. Its description in RNAcentral is "partial 16S ribosomal RNA". It matches the Rfam family "Bacterial small subunit ribosomal RNA", at positions 29 to 507 of the family's 1533-position model. The record is from RNAcentral.